This 278-nucleotide ribosomal RNA is filed under the name uncultured Staphylococcus sp. RNAcentral's name for it is "partial 16S ribosomal RNA". It matches the Rfam family "Bacterial small subunit ribosomal RNA", at positions 83 to 355 of the family's 1533-position model. Lineage: Bacteria; Bacillati; Bacillota; Bacilli; Caryophanales; Staphylococcaceae. The record is from RNAcentral.
CCUUUGACGUUAGCGGCGGACGGGUGAGUAACACGUGGGUAACCUACCUAUAAGACUGGGAUAACUUCGGGAAACCGGAGCUAAUACCGGAUAAUAUUUGAACCGCAUGGUUCGAUAGUGAAAGGUGGUUUUGCUAUCACUUAUAGAUGGACCCGCGCCGUAUUAGCUAGUUGGUAAGGUAACGGCUUACCAAGGCGACGAUACGUAGCCGACCUGAGAGGGUGAUCGGCCACACUGGAACUGAGACACGGUCCAGACUCCUACGGGAGGCAGCAGUC